Molecule: long non-coding RNA, 373 nt
Filed under: Bos taurus (domestic cattle)
Lineage: Eukaryota; Metazoa; Chordata; Mammalia; Artiodactyla; Bovidae
Description: long non-coding RNA NONBTAT006722
Source: RNAcentral
AUUAAUCCAAUGAAUCUAAUUCUUAUUGAUAAUCAAGUCAUUCCCAAGUUUAAGUUGUGCACUUAGGGAGGUUGAGACAAAAGGGUUAAACAUUACUGCUACAGCCCAACACUCACCAAGGUCAAUAAAGGAAGAACUACAAUGAACAAAUUACUUCUGUUUAAUACAUGUGCAAGCUGAACAAAUUCACUUUUGAAAAUUUAAUAAUUUAUUUCAUAAAGCAAUACCUAAAGAACUAAAAUAUAUACACACAUAUAUACUUUUUUAAUAUUCUGCAUUCUAUAACUCAAAAAAAGGUCACAUUUUUAAUGGUAUCUCAUUGCUAGUUCCUGAUAUAAUCUUUUAUGUAGUCAUAAAAGAAAUGUAAGCAAAA